This 564-nucleotide long non-coding RNA is filed under the name Malus domestica (apple). Its description in RNAcentral is "long non-coding RNA (MDOM_LNC020824)". Lineage: Eukaryota; Viridiplantae; Streptophyta; Magnoliopsida; Rosales; Rosaceae. The record is from RNAcentral.
CUGACUUAAAAACAUAAAAACAAAAUUUAAAACACUAAACUAGACUCAAAGAAUGCAAAACUAUACUUUAAAACACUAAAACAAACCAAAAGACUCAAAACAGCACCUAGCACUCAAAACUGCCAUAAAAACACAAUCUGGGCAGUUUUGAACACUAAGGAAGAAAUUGAACGAAAAUAUGUUACAACUUGACUCAAUACACUUAGAAACACAAACUAAAUUGAUUUCUAACUAAAAUGACACUUGAAACUACAGGGGGAAUUGGUUUUGACGAAUUUAAAAUAAAAUAAGAACUUUGUAAAACAAAACAGGUUUUAAAACGACUUUGGUUUAAAACUUAUGGAUGGAAGGCUAGCUAGGAGGUUCUUCUUCACACAUGUCACACUUGCAUACAAAAUGAUUUCCAAUUGCUUUUCGAUAAGUUAUGAAUACUCAACGCCCCAAAUUAACCGUGAAUUGCACUAAUUAACUCUCAGUUUUUCAACAAGUUAUUAGAUUGGAUGAUUGCAUACGACAACCCAAAAAUUCCCUACAAGUUCCCUACAUGAAUUGCAUAAUAGAGAU